GGACAGGGCUGGGGGGCGGAGGUGAGCCUGCGGCUGAAGGGGCUUCAAAUACACACAAACGGUCCCGACUGGAGACGUUAAAACUCUGCACUGGAAUACUUCUGAACCCAGCUGGCCGAGGGGAACCCUGAGGAACCCCUGGAGUAAAUGAGGCACAACUGCACAACGACGUGCCGGCCUGGAGGAAAGCACAGCGGGGCUUGCAGAGAAUUCCAGAACUUUAACGCGCUUAGAGCCCUCUGCCACAGCCCACUCACUCUGCCAACGAGGAAACUAAAAGCCAGAAGAGGUGACUUGCUGGAGAUGACCUGGGAGUGAGUGGCGGGGCUGGGAUAAACUGUGUUCUUGAUUCUUCUGGCAGGCAGGGGCUCGCCUUCUCUUACACCAGGGGCAUUGCUGCUUUGACCUCGAGGAACUGGCAUCCCCGGGCCUGACACAGAGCUCCCCUGCGGUGCACUGGGGAAUGGGUCACCCUGGAGGAUGUGAGCGGAUUUCUCAAGGAAGGUGGAUCCCUGAGUGCCUGCACGCAGGACAGUCCCAGAACUCCCUGGACUCAACUCCUGAGAGCUCCCCAACCUCUUGGCACUCCAGUGAUGGCCCCUCUCUAAAUGCCGCAGCCCAUGUUUGUGAAAGGAUUUCAAUCUGAAAUGGAACCAGAAGACAUAAAAUGGAAAAUCUCAUGCAUGUGCCCGCAGAAAAAUAAAACUUCAGGACUAAGAAACAGAGUUUCUGUAAAUGCCCAGUUUACAGAAAAGUGAUAAUAUUACAGUUUUCUUAAAUGAGAGGGCCUUGGUCAGAGGUUGCC
Molecule: long non-coding RNA, 805 nt
Organism: Odocoileus virginianus texanus
Lineage: Eukaryota; Metazoa; Chordata; Mammalia; Artiodactyla; Cervidae
Source: RefSeq, a predicted model, not a curated record